This 470-nucleotide ribosomal RNA is filed under the name uncultured Anaerolineaceae bacterium. RNAcentral describes it as "bacterial SSU rRNA". It matches the Rfam family "Bacterial small subunit ribosomal RNA", at positions 897 to 1382 of the family's 1533-position model. The record is from RNAcentral. Lineage: Bacteria; Bacillati; Chloroflexota; Anaerolineae; Anaerolineales; Anaerolineaceae.
AAACUCAAAUGAAUUGACGGGACCCGCACAAGCAGCGGAGCGUGUGGUUUAAUUCGUUGCUACACGAAGAACCUUACCUGGGUUUGACAUAUAGGUUGUAGGGAACUGAAAAGGGACCGACCUUCGGGGAGCCUAUACAGGUGUUGCAUGGCUGUCGUCAGCUCGUGUCGUGAGAUGUUCGGUUAAGUCCGCUAACGAGCGCAACCCUCGUCGUAUGUUAUAUGUGUCAUACGAGACUGCCGGUAAAAAGCCGGAGGAAGGUGAGGAUGAUGUCAAGUCAGCAUGACCUUUAUAUCCUGGGCUACACACACGCUACAAUGGCCAACACAAUAGGUUGCUAAGCCGCGAGGUGGCGCCAAUCCAUAAAGUUGGUCUCAGUUCAGAUUGUAGGCUGCAACCCGCCUGCAUGAAGAUGGAGUUGCUAGUAACCGCAGGUCAGCUAUACUGCGGUGAAUACGUUCCCGGGUCUU